RNAcentral lists this long non-coding RNA (306 nucleotides) under Vigna radiata. RNAcentral's name for it is "long non-coding RNA (VRAD_LNC008216)". The record is from RNAcentral. Lineage: Eukaryota; Viridiplantae; Streptophyta; Magnoliopsida; Fabales; Fabaceae.
UGGGAGUUACUUCCUAGCACUAUACUGCAUAUUUAAUGCACAUCAAAUUUGUGUGGGUUGCGACAGCCCAUCAAAUUUUGGCGUCGUUGUCAGGGACCAACGGUUCGGUUUUAGGUCUUUAUUGUGUUAGUGUGUGUUGUCUUGUCUUGUGUUGUGAGUGUGAUGUUCUGUUUUGUGUGUGUCAUCAUGUGUGUUGCAUUUAGAUAGCUUUAGUUGCAUAUUUUCAUUGCAUUCUUCUUUUCCCCCCUUCUACAUGUCUACCUAUUUUGGUUAUGUGAGUAAUGCUUAUUCUGCCUGUGUCUAUGA